AAAAAAAUAAAGAAAUUCCAGAACCAAUGGAUAUUGAAGAAACAUAUCCUUAUGGAAAGAGAAAAUUAGAGUCAGAUAUUCAAAACGAUGAUUAUCUAAGAGCUUUAUGUAACACCCUAAUCCCGGACUAGGAGUUUAGACUGAAUUCGAAAUGCUACAUUGAUCACCGAAGUGAUCGUAGGUAAAUUUUACAAAACAAGUUACCAUGUCGAAUCAAAACAUUUACUUCUAUAAAAACUCGAAUCAGUAAAACUUCAGGAAUAAAAAUGAGUAAAACUUAAAUCGAAAUUUGUACCACAGGUUUAUAAACCAAACCGCCAAAGUCGAAUAUAAAAAAAACUAGUAAACAUAAAUUAAUACUUCAAUCUGCCGAAGCUGUCUGACACUUCUGCGUAUUGAAUCCAGCAUCUAGAAUCCAUAACUGUACCUGAAAGGGGAAAUAGAAGAGGGGGUGAGCUACUCGAGCUUAGUGUGAGACCAAAUUAAAUAAACCACAGAAACUGGAACAGGGACAAAAACUGAAAGCCUGGACGCGGUUCAACUUCAGAUGUGAAGCAGAGCUAACUUACAGAACUAAUCAGCACCGGUCGCUAUAUGCAAAGCAAACUUACCGACAGAUGACCGCUGAGCAUACUCACCCAAAAUCAAUUACCAUAGGUACCUUUCGAUCACAUGGAACAAGCAAACACACACAAUCACACGUGCCAUUUAGAUACAGUGGCAACAAUUCACAAGUUAGUCGCACAGUCACAAUAACAGUACAGUCAAGCAAUCUCAGACAAAGUCUACAGAAUUCGCAUAGGCACUAGUGCCUUUCAGUUGAUCAGUAACACAUUCAGUCAUAGUAUCAUAUUCAGUCAUGGUAUCAGUAGUUCUCAACCAUUCGCAAGUUCCAAUUCAGUCAAACUGAUCAGUCAGAUGUAUAUGAAUGCAAAUGAGUUAUAAAAUUCCCACCCAUCCAGCCAGCACACCUCUUUGUCCUCCCUCACUCCUCACCAGAGCUUUAAGCUCGUCCUGUCAAACACUCCACUUGAUCUCAUAAGGCCUAUCCAACCUUACACUCCAUAUUAUGUCAUCCGGGGUUGCCCGACAAUGAUGGACAUCAGCAUUGUCCUCGACCCUCAGGGAAUUGGGACUACCCACGACCUUCUGGGUAUUGGGGCUAACAGUAUGCAGAUAAACUGCCUGUCACGUAUAUUGCGUAUCAAAGCUAGUGUAUAAGCUGUACGGUACAAUGCGGUAAACAGCAGUACAGACAUGCAGUAUGAACUGCCAGAUCAGAUAGUAGUACGUAGCGUAGAUAAUGUACAUGUGGUACGGUGCAAUGUGGUAAUCUGCUAUACCGAUAGGUUGCAGUAAAACUGUUAGUUCAAUCAAUGAUAAGCAGCGAAGCUGACGUAUGUACUGUACGGUGCAGUGCGGUAGUCCGCAGUACAAUCAAAUUGUCCACGAUCUCAGGGUAUUGGGACCGACCAUGACCCUCUGGGUAAUAGGGCUAUCAGUCACCAACCGAUCAACUGCCAGUUUCAUAAAUCUCCCUUCUCUUCAAAAUCCCACCCAAAAUAGUUUAUGUAUAUGUAUGUAUGUAUGCAAAUGUAUGUAUGCAGAUGUACCAAUUCAGAAAGCAAUUCCGGACAAUCAUUCACAACCAAUUAAUUUGUUACAGAAGUAUAUACACCCAUACACUCAGAUUCAGUGCCUAACAUAUCACACAUCCAAUCACAACUAAAACAUAAACCGAAGUCAGAACAGAGUCGUAUCUACCUCAGUAAGCUUAGCUUAGUCGAGGGUUAGAAGACACAAAGUUGUGAUUACACUUAUAUUUGACCUAAAAUCAUUAUCUAGCAAGAUAGGGCCACACGUUAGUGUGCUCUGGCCGUGUGGAGCAUUCUAGGCCGUGUAGGGGUCCAAACGCUCGUGUGAAAGUUAGCAUACAGCCUUGUGACAGAGGCACAUGCCCAUGUGAAGCAGGGACACGACUAUAUGAAUAGGCUGUGUUGCUUACUGUCUAAUUUCGCCAAAAUAAGAUGCAGGGCAGACACAACCGUGUGAGGGUCUCACCCACCCGUGUGCCUACCAGACAUGAUCGUGAGUUUCGAAACACACACCCAUGUGGAAUCCUUAAUUCCCAAAUCAGUCACACGACUUUGUGGCUAAGCCGUGUGACCCCAAAUCUCUAGAACUCUAAUCCCUAAACUUACAUGCCCGUGUAGACCAAGGGACACGACUGUGUGAGAAACGAUAAAAUCCCCAAAUUGAUCACAUGGUCAUGUGACCAGGCCGUGUGGCACCAAAAUUGGCAUAGAACCUUAAUUCCCAAAUCCACACGGUCGUGUGCCUCGGCACACGCCCGUGUGGCCAUCGGAAAGGUCACGAAACUACCCCAAAACAGCCUCGAAAACUCUACUUUAGCCACCAAACUAUCUCAACUUAAGUAAUAUCGAAAACAUAUCAACAAUUGGAGUAUUUCUCUCACUUUCAGCAUUCAGAAAACCAAAUCUAAAUCGUUAAAAACACUCAUACACGAUUGGUCAAAUCAGAAUUCGAGAAAACUAAAAUAAUGCAGAGAAAGUUUGAAUCCUACACCUGUUUUUGACGACGAAAGAAACGACAGAGGAGUGAAACUCCAGAAUCCGCAAUUAACCUGUUUGCACAGAAAGAAAAUAGCAAAAAGAAAAAAAUGAAAAGGGGAAGAGGAACAGAAAAAAACAUGAAAAGGAAGAAGAAUAAAAAUAAAAAAUAAAAGUAAAAAUAAAUAAUAAUAAUAAUAAUAAUAAUAAACAAAUAAACUAAAUAACUAUUUUAACUUAAAACAAAAAUAAAUAAAAUUUUUUCCAAAACGCCCACACAAAGACUCAAACCAAGGACCCUGAGUCAAGCUAGCAUACACUUAACCACCAGACCAGCAAGCCUAUUCUGCCACUAAAUUGCGCCGCUAAAUACAUAAGUGCCACCUCCUCACUGACCCUAUGCUCAAAACCCAAAACUUCUAGGCCCAAAAUUUAGGGCGUUACACUUUAAAUAAAGAUUUUGAAAAAGUUGAAGAUACAAUUAGAAUUUUUGGUAAUCAAACCGAAAAUAUAGCUACUAAUGAAAUUAAAACUGAAUAUCCAGGAAAGUCAUCUAGUCAACCCAGUCAACCUAUACCACAUAGGAUUGAUUAUUUAAAUAAGAGAAAUGUAGCCCAAGGAGGAAUAUAUUUAGACUUAACUAAUAUUCCAAUAUAAGACUAUGAAAAAAACCAUAGAUGAUUGGGCAUAGUCUAUGACUAUUGUUGUAAACAACAACAAUACUUGGUCAAAACAAAAAUUUUUAAAUUAUUUUGUAGGAACUUUUUAAGACGAUGUUUUACAAUUUUUAAGACGAUGGGAAGAAUUUGAUAUAGGAAAAAUCUAAAAAGGACAAUUAAUUAACCAGAUAGGAACCCCUAAAUAUCUUUUAAAAUGAUUAACUAAUAUUCUAAAAACAGAAUUUGUACAAUAGAAAAUAAAUUAUCAGUUGUACAAUACGUUUAUUUUAAUAAAGAUAAUAGAUACUUAAUUUAACUAAUUAAUUUUUAGAAU
This 3563-nucleotide long non-coding RNA is filed under the name Gossypium barbadense (sea-island cotton). Its description in RNAcentral is "long non-coding RNA (GBAR_LNC008958)". The record is from RNAcentral. Lineage: Eukaryota; Viridiplantae; Streptophyta; Magnoliopsida; Malvales; Malvaceae.